Molecule: non-coding RNA, 47 nt
Organism: Xenopus laevis (African clawed frog)
Lineage: Eukaryota; Metazoa; Chordata; Amphibia; Anura; Pipidae
Source: Rfam
ACAAAGGCUCUUCUAAGAGCCCCCCACCUUCUCCCCCAAAGAUCUGU